GAAAUGAGGGUUUCUGUGAGCGCCGCCUUCGUCUUCUUUCUCUCUCCAAGAGUCAUCAUUGCCAUUUUUUGCAACAAGUCAUGCGUACAACUCUUUUUUCAGGUCUAGCAUGGCUGAUUGAGGCACACGUUUUAACUCCUCCUCUCUUCUACUUUUUCUAUAGAUUACGAUCAAAGAAGGACGAAUCCUUUAAUGGGGUUUGUCUUAUUGCUAGUUUGAAUGGUCGAUUCCUAUUGGUUUUGGUGAAUUUAGGCGAGAUUCAAGAGGAAUCACCCAAAACACUUCAGUCCCACAUCGAUCUUUCACAGUAAAUUUAGGGUUUUGGGAUUCUAUAUAAAGAACCCCACCCUUCACAUUCACACAAACCUUCACAAGCUCAAAAUUUUGAUACCCAUAAGUCUCGAUCAUAUGAGCAAAAAAUAUUCGGUUUACUUAGGGAUUUAGCAUUAGCUUGCUGAAACCUUUACUUAAUCGAGUUUUCCUAGUCUAAAAUUUCCAUUUCUUGUUUUGUGGCUGAGUCUCGGGUAGGGAGCAGGGGAUUCCAACUCCAAUCUCGACAAGUGCUGCACAUAAGAAAGGCCAAGUCUGCACCAGCCAGUUUGUUGGGUCAGAGGCCCAACAUCCUUUUUCUUUCAUCGAGUCCGAGUAGAAAUUCUGAAGGCCUAACUAUGGGUGAAAUUGGUUAACUGCUGGGCUCGGUAGGCCCAUCGCCUUCCCACCUCUUUAUUUUUGUACAGAUAUUUGUGAAUAUAUACUUGUAAAGAAUGAUUGUAAAUGUUGGAACCCAUUUGGUUAGA
This is a long non-coding RNA of Lycium ferocissimum, 797 nucleotides long. RefSeq lists it as uncharacterized. NCBI's taxonomy places the organism in Eukaryota, Viridiplantae, Streptophyta, Magnoliopsida, Solanales, Solanaceae. The record is from RefSeq and is a predicted model, not a curated record. The transcript is spliced from 2 exons.